Molecule: long non-coding RNA, 528 nt
Organism: Agrilus planipennis (emerald ash borer)
Lineage: Eukaryota; Metazoa; Arthropoda; Insecta; Coleoptera; Buprestidae
Exons: 4
Source: RefSeq, a predicted model, not a curated record
CAUUGUCUUGUGUAAAUUUUUACACGGAGUAAUCGGUUGCGUGCGGUUUAAGAUGUUUGUAACGCGAUUGUGAAUAAUUAUUCUUUUGGAGUACCACUGGUACGUACAGUUUAUAUGUGUUUGUGAAUCAUCUUUAAUAUAAGAACAUCAAAUAUGUGUGCUUUGAACUUGUAGUAAAUGGGUUUAAUGUAGGAAAGAUAAUUCCUAAAAAUUGUGAUUUAUUGCAUGGAAAUUAUUCGAAAUUUUCUUCGUGUAUUUUCACUCAUUCCGAAGUUAAGAAGACGGCAGCUAAGAACGGAUUUUGUGACAGGACCGAAUUAAGGGGCCUCACACGCUAUCGUAACUAAAUGUUUGCUGUUAGAGAUAUAAGGAUUACGAACAUAUCGUCACAUUAAAAGGGGAUUACAAGGAAAUUAGAGAUGUAGCGCUCAAAAGGACUGAAGAAAUUGCUUUACUUCAUCGGAAGGAAAAUGGUAAGUCAGGCUACAUAAUCUCUUAAAACCUUUUUUGGAUCGUAUUAUGCAUAUA